RNAcentral lists this transfer RNA (74 nucleotides) under Planctomycetaceae bacterium. Its description in RNAcentral is "tRNA-Pro". It matches the Rfam family "tRNA". From Rfam's summary of the family: Transfer RNA (tRNA) molecules are approximately 80 nucleotides in length. Their secondary structure includes four short double-helical elements and three loops (D, anti-codon, and T loops). The record is from RNAcentral. Lineage: Bacteria; Pseudomonadati; Planctomycetota; Planctomycetia; Planctomycetales; Planctomycetaceae.
CGGGGUGUGGGAAAGCCUGGCAAUCCGCCUGGUUCGGGACCAGGAGAGCGCCAGUUCGAAUCUGGCCGCCCCGA